Molecule: unclassified non-coding RNA, 150 nt
Filed under: uncultured fungus
Lineage: Eukaryota; Fungi
Description: sequence contains ITS1, 5.8S rRNA gene
Source: RNAcentral
CCGAGUGAGGGCCUCCGGCCCGACCUCCAACCCUUUGUUAUCAAAACCACUGUUGCCUCGGGGGCGACCCGGGCCCGUCGGUCUGGGGCCCCCGCUGGACAAUUUCAAAACACUGCAUCUUUGCGUCGGGUUAAAAAGUUUAAUUGAUUA